GAUGAACGCUAGCGGCAGGCUUAACACAUGCAAGUCGAGGGGCAGCAUGACGGAACUUUCGGGUUUUGCUGAUGGCGACCGGCGCAAGGGUGCGUAACGCGUGAGCAACUUGCCCGUUUCUGGGGAAUAACCGUUGGAAACGACGACUAAUACCCCAUGGUAUCAGGUUUAGGCAUCUUUAUCUGAUUAAAGAAUUUCGGAAACGGAUAGGCUCGCGUGACAUUAGCUAGAUGGCGGGGUAACGGCCCACCAUGGCGACGAUGUCUAGGGGUUCUGAGAGGAACGGUCCCCCACACUGGAACUGAGACACGGUCCAG
RNAcentral lists this ribosomal RNA (317 nucleotides) under uncultured bacterium. RNAcentral describes it as "bacterial SSU rRNA". It matches the Rfam family "Bacterial small subunit ribosomal RNA", at positions 28 to 334 of the family's 1533-position model. The record is from RNAcentral.